This 448-nucleotide ribosomal RNA is filed under the name uncultured bacterium. RNAcentral describes it as "bacterial SSU rRNA". It matches the Rfam family "Bacterial small subunit ribosomal RNA", at positions 329 to 793 of the family's 1533-position model. The record is from RNAcentral.
CGCCAGACUCCUACGGGAGGCAGCAGUGGGGGAUAUUGCACAAUGGGGGAAACCCUGAUGCAGCGACGCCGCGUGUGGGAAGACGGUCCUCUGGAUUGUAAACCACUGUCCCCAGGGACGAAGAUGACGGUACCUGGGGAGGAAGCUCCGACUAACUACGUGCCAGCAGCCGCGGUAAUACGUAGGGAGCAAGCGUUAUCCGGAUUUAUUGGGUGUAAAGGGUGCGUAGACGGAGAAGCAAGUUAGUUGUGAAAUCCCUCGGCUUAACUGAGGAACUGCAACUAAAACUACUUCCCUUGAGUACUGGAGAGGAAAGUGGAAUUCCUAGUGUAGCGGUGAAAUGCGUAGAUAUUAGGAGGAACACCAGUGGCGAAGGCGACUUUCUGGACAGUAACUGACGUUGAGGCACGAAAGUGUGGGGAGCAAACAGGAUUAGAUACCCGGGUAU